CUGACCUCAAAUCAGGUAGGACUACCCGCUGAACUUAAGCAUA
Molecule: ribosomal RNA, 43 nt
Filed under: Ganoderma sp. E7366
Lineage: Eukaryota; Fungi; Basidiomycota; Agaricomycetes; Polyporales; Polyporaceae
Description: partial 26S ribosomal RNA
Source: RNAcentral